CAAUCAAGGCAUCGUUCUGAGACCUGCACUGGAAUACCGCGUCGAGUCCUUGCUCAUCCCCACGAAUGCUUUGGGUUUCGCUGUGAUGUGUGUGCAGCUGUAUAUGGGCCUGUUGGGGCUGAUACAGCAGUCAUUCUUUCCAAGAAAUCUUUGAUCUGCUGAAAGGUGACUACAAAGCUGAUAGCCAAGGUUGGUCUCGAAUGCCUGGGCUCAAGCCAUCCUCCACUUUGGCCUACCAAAGUGCUGGACUAACAGUGAUGAGCCACCGCACCUGGCCUGCCCAGCCUCUUUUUUGCAAGGAAGCCCUGUCGUGCAAGGGAAGGUCAGACGGAUGAGAUUCCGGUUGGUCCCUCUAGCUAAGCUGUUCCGCACGGCGAGUGUAUGGGAACGAGGCUGCUUUGAGCUAACUUUGCCAACGCUCUGCUGGUGAGCACGUUUCUGCACUGUUGAGCUGACAGCUGAAAUCUGUCCUCCUCCUGCGUGUGAUGUCAGCUGUGGGCCAGCCUGGCAGUUAUGAAGAGAAGAAGAGGGGACAGCUAGGGGGAAGAGGAAGCAUGUUACGAUUGUGACCAGACCGGCUGAAACUGUGUGUCAUGUGUCACAAACCCCACGGCCUGGCAGAUCUCCGUGGAGGGAGCUUUGCCUACUCGCAUGACAUAUCUAAAGGCUCACGGGAGGCCAGCCCGCACCUGUAAGUCUCCUGGCUGACGUGCGACCAGGCAGCCUCCAGAGAGAGAGAGAGAGGGAAAUGGGCAAGAGCUGAGACUCCAGCAGCAGCAGGAAAUGGGCUGCGUUGCAGACAGCCGGCGCCACCAAGAGUUAUUUCUAAAAUCUGGGUUCGAUUAUGAUGUGCAGUCAGGUACAAACUGACAGACGAACAACUUUCUCCCAUCUCGCGGCUGCUCCUUGUUUACAGUGCUUUCAGACUCCAUGGAAGUUUCUCUAAAGGCACCUGUGUGGUGUCUCAUAAGAGUCCGGGCUGCCAAGCGCCUCCCGUGUCAUUUCUAACAGGUGUGGAAGGUGAAAGGAAGGAACAUGAAGGAAAAGAUAAGACACGAAGAGAAGGAGCCAUGUGGAAAAACCUGGAGUGCAGAAGUGUUCGUCUGAAAGGCUACGAUGACCGUGAUGAGUAAAUUAUUUUAUUCCUACCAUUAUACAAUAAAAUACUAUCCAGUUCUUGUGUUUAUAGGAGAACAAAUGACUGUUUCUCUAUUUCCAUUCAUCUUCUAUUUUUAAAAUAAAAACUUUAUAUAAGCAUAGGAUACUUAAAAGGACCAAGAUAUAUUUUGGCUUGUGUUUACAUAGGGACAUGUUUGAAAACAUAGCAUUUUUUAAUUGGUAAAAUAGGUAAAAACAACUGGAGAGGAAGUUUCAUGCUUGGCAGAGAUGAUAUUGAAAUAUUCAAUGCACCGGGCAUGGUGGCUCA
Long non-coding RNA from Homo sapiens (human), 1426 nucleotides. RefSeq lists it as uncharacterized. The transcript is spliced from 4 exons. The record is from RefSeq and is a predicted model, not a curated record. NCBI's taxonomy places the organism in Eukaryota, Metazoa, Chordata, Mammalia, Primates, Hominidae.